Molecule: long non-coding RNA, 387 nt
Organism: Apus apus (common swift)
Lineage: Eukaryota; Metazoa; Chordata; Aves; Apodiformes; Apodidae
Exons: 3
Source: RefSeq, a predicted model, not a curated record
AUGGUGCUGGUGAAGUCCUCGUCUGACCUGGUCAGCUUUCACUGGGCUUGCACUUCUGUGGGAGGACAAAGUGAAGCUGAAUUUAUUGCAGAACAUGGUGCUGCUGGAAGAUGUUUAUUGAAAGGGAAGUAGGUCAAGCAGUAAGGCAAGAAACCACUUGAUGUGUUACCAGGAGAUGUGUCACCACCUGCACUUGCUGUCACCAUCCCUGGCACCUCCACAUCAGCUCCAGCGCUGAGCCUGCACCCCGGACACACAGUGUAAGGUGAAGGCUGGUCCCAGUGAGUGAGGACAGCAGGGCUCCUGGGGAGGUCCAGCUCCCAGGACAGAUGCUCUUGGGAUGGGAAUUGUCCCCUGCCAUGGACCAAACGGCCUCUUCCAUGAACU